RNAcentral lists this long non-coding RNA (579 nucleotides) under Mus pahari (shrew mouse). RNAcentral's name for it is "lncRNA (MGP_PahariEiJ_G0005862.1)". The record is from RNAcentral. Lineage: Eukaryota; Metazoa; Chordata; Mammalia; Rodentia; Muridae.
AAGUCUGUGGGAACCAGCUGUGCAUAAAGAAGUGAGAGCAGACAAAAGGAAAUGGUCAGAUGCUUGGACGGAGAGGGGGAAGGCUGGGCUGGGCUGGUGAGACGCUUCUUCAUCUCUCAGUGACACAUUCCUUCCUCCCAGUCUUCAUUGUGAGAGCUCACCCCGGCAGAGGAUGUCAGGUAAAUAAUGUUUUCUCCUGUUUAUCUUUUACUAGAGGGUGGUCAGUCAUGAACCUUGGGCUGGAAGAGAGAAAUAUAUAACCGUGUCCUUUACAGAUUCUGGGACCUGCUCAGGGGACUGCAGAAAUGCCGGACAGAGCUGAUAAAAGCCAUCUAGAGGGCAAUGAUUUUUUAAAACCAGCGUUCAGAAGGUCCAAGUGAUUUGCCUGUAGAGUUGAAAAUGCAGUUUCUCUGCUCUCUUGCUUCUCGAGUUGGGAUGAACAGUAGCAAAGCUUCAGCGUGUUUCUUGUUUUCUUGUUACUCUGUUUCUUGUUAUGGGAUGUCAGGUGUGAAAUGUGUGCUAAGGGAAAGAAAUGUGCCCCAUUGUGUACACAUUAAGCUAAGCACAGACUUUUCUCUU